GGUGAGGUGUCCGAGUGGCUGAAGGAGCACGCCUGGAAAGUGUGUAUACGGCAACGUAUCGGGGGUUCUCAAUCCCCCCCUCACCGCCA
This 89-nucleotide transfer RNA is filed under the name Klebsiella pneumoniae. Its description in RNAcentral is "tRNA-Ser(gga)". Lineage: Bacteria; Pseudomonadati; Pseudomonadota; Gammaproteobacteria; Enterobacterales; Enterobacteriaceae. The record is from RNAcentral.